RNAcentral lists this ribosomal RNA (387 nucleotides) under uncultured bacterium. RNAcentral describes it as "bacterial SSU rRNA". It matches the Rfam family "Bacterial small subunit ribosomal RNA", at positions 28 to 416 of the family's 1533-position model. The record is from RNAcentral.
GACGAACGCUGGCGGCGUGCUUAACACAUGCAAGUCGAGCGGUAAGGCCCUUUCGGGGGUACACGAGCGGCGAACGGGUGAGUAACACGUGGGUGACCUGCCCUCAGCUCUGGGAUAAGCCUGGGAAACUGGGUCUAAUACUGGAUAUGACUCCACGGUGCAUGUCGUGGGGUGGAAAGCCUUGUGCGGCUGAGGAUGGGCCCGCGGCCUAUCAGCUUGUUGGUGGGGUGAUGGCCUACCAAGGCGACAACGGGUAGCCGGCCUGAGAGGGCGACCGGCCACACUGGGACUGAGACACGGCCCAGACUCCUACGGGAGGCAGCAGUGGGGAAUCUUGCGCAAUGGGCGAAAGCCUGACGCAGCGACGCCGCGUGAGGGACGACGGCC